This 497-nucleotide ribosomal RNA is filed under the name uncultured bacterium. Its description in RNAcentral is "partial 16S ribosomal RNA". It matches the Rfam family "Bacterial small subunit ribosomal RNA", at positions 28 to 507 of the family's 1533-position model. The record is from RNAcentral.
GAUGAACGCUGGCGGCGUGCCUAAUACAUGCAAGUCGAGCGAACGGACGAGAAGCUUGCUUCUCUGAUGUUAGCGGCGGACGGGUGCGUAACACGUGGAUAACCUACCUAUAAGACUGGGAUAACUUCGGGAAACCGGAGCUAAUACCGGAUAAUAUUUUGAACCGCAUGGUUCAAAAGUGAAAGACGGUCUUGCUGUCACUUAUAGAUGGAUCCGCGCUGCAUUAGCUAGUUGGUAAGGUAACGGCUUACCAAGGCAACGAUGCAUAGCCGACCUGAGAGGGUGAUCGGCCACACUGGAACUGAGACACGGUCCAGACUCCUACGGGAGGCAGCAGUAGGGAAUCUUCCGCAAUGGGCGAAAGCCUGACGGAGCAACGCCGCGUGAGUGAUGAAGGUCUUCGGAUCGUAAAACUCUGUUAUUAGGGAAGAACAUAUGUGUAAGUAACUGUGCACAUCUUGACGGUACCUAAUCAGAAAGCCACGGCUAACUACGUG